CUAUUACUCCCUCCGUCCAAAAAAGAAUGUCUCAACUUUGACUAAAUUCAAAAAAAUUCAAAUUGAAUACAUCUAUACACUAAGUUAUGUCUAGAUAUAUUCAAAUUUUGGCAAACUUGAGAUAUCCUUUGUUGGACGGAGGGAGUAUAAG
Brachypodium distachyon (stiff brome) is the source of this 151-nucleotide non-coding RNA. NCBI's taxonomy places the organism in Eukaryota, Viridiplantae, Streptophyta, Magnoliopsida, Poales, Poaceae. The record is from Rfam.